RNAcentral lists this ribosomal RNA (497 nucleotides) under uncultured bacterium. RNAcentral's name for it is "partial 16S ribosomal RNA". It matches the Rfam family "Bacterial small subunit ribosomal RNA", at positions 28 to 507 of the family's 1533-position model. The record is from RNAcentral.
GAUGAACGCUGGCGGCGUGCCUAAUACAUGCAAGUCGAGCGAACGGACGAGAAGCUUGCUUCUCUGAUGUUAGCGGCGGACGGGUGAGUAACACGUGUAUAACCUACCUAUAAGACUGGGAUAACUUCGGGAAACCGGAGCUAAUACCGGAUAAUAUUUUGAACCGCAUGGUUCAAAAGUGAAAGACGGUCUUGCUGUCACUUAUAGAUGGAUCUGCGCUGCAUUAGCUAGUUGGUAGGGUAACGGCUUACCAAGGCAACGAUGCAUAGCCGACCUGAGAGGGGGAUCGGCGGCAUGGGAGCGGGAACAGGGUCCAGAGUCCUGCGGGAGGCAGCAGUAGGGAAUCUGCCGCAAUGGGCGAAAGCCUGACGGAGCGACGCCGCGUGAGUGAUGAAGGUCUUCGGAUCGUAAAGCUCUGUUAUUGGGGAAGAACAUAUGUGUAAGUAACUGUGCACAGCUUGACGGUACCUAAUCAGAAAGCCACGGCUAACUACGUG